This is an RNA transcript of Anastrepha obliqua, 2207 nucleotides long. RefSeq lists it as uncharacterized. The record is from RefSeq and is a predicted model, not a curated record. NCBI's taxonomy places the organism in Eukaryota, Metazoa, Arthropoda, Insecta, Diptera, Tephritidae. The transcript is spliced from 3 exons.
UCCUUAAAAUGAAUUCGCCCAAAGUUACUUCUUGCGCGUGUUCGGUUUGUUAAGUUAUUUACGGAAUUACAUAAAACAGAAAAAAUAAGGUUUUAUUAAUUAUGAUAAACACAUUCCUACGUUCAAAAUGCGUAUCUUUGUUAAAAGAACGCCAGGUCUCUCAGAUCGAAAGAGUUGUACAUCGGUUAGCCUCUUUUACGGCACGACACAUCUUGCAAGAAACCUCCGAUGAGGCCGGUACUUUACUCACACGUUUCGCGAAGCAUGUUGCGUUGGAAUUGCAAAACCAUGUUCCAAUUGUUCCCACUGUGAUAAGGUAUGCCGAUUAUUUUCCUAUAACUGACACGCGCUACUUGCAGAAGGAAUUGACUGGAAUAUCACCAGACCAAUUACCAGCAUUAAUUGUUUUUGCAUUCACAUAUCGACCCAGCGCUGAUCCUAAUAAAUACGCCACUUUAUUGAAUGAGUUGGAUGCCACAGCAAUAAAAUUACUUCCUAAAAUGGAUCUUGACACCAUAUUAAGAACUUUAUAUGCCUUCCUCUAUCUCAUGCCUAAUUGGAUAGUCCGAAUUGAUUUUUAUAACGCGGCGAUGGAGCGUAUACUGGCAAAGGAAAUUUCCGAGAACUUAUCUAAGGAACGAUUUGUUCAAAUAUGCUUCUAUUUGGGUUUAGAGAAAAACCGUGGAGCACAAAAUGGCGAAUUAUUUCAUAAAUUGCUAAAUACGCGUUUAGAUUCAUAUCUUCCUGUAUUAAGUACACUAGAUUUGGUUAUGGUUGCCAAUGCCGCUUUCAAAACAUCUACUCGUAUAGAAAGCAAUGCAUAUAACCAACGCUUAAUAGAAGAAGUACUUAAACUCUCCCCCAAUGAACCCAGCAACGACGCACUUCUAGUAACUUUAGUCAAAGCAUUGCGUCUACAGCGCGUAUAUUCGGAAGAAGUUUUUGAAUAUUUGAAAGAGUACUGUAGUGAAGAUAUCAUUGCAAAGCUACAAACCCGUGGCUGUACUCAUUUGUUUGCCUAUUUUGCCGAUAAUCUUUGGGAUGAGCAAUGCACUAUUGAACCAUUGGUGAAACAUUGUUUACGACGCCUGGUCCCAUCGCAAAAGUUCGAUAUGGUUAGUGAGCACAUGCGUGGCAAAGAUCUUGCUAAAUUUUUAUGGUGUUGCGCACAACUUAACUGCAAAAUACCAGCAAGUGAUCUUAAACGGAUUGAGUUAAUCCUCCUGGAUAAAGUAGAUCAGAACGAGUUUAGAUAUUUUGUGGACCAAUUGGUGGAAAGCUGUCUUUCGUUGUGGAUAUUAGGACACAAGUCGUUCGAUCUAAUUGAGGCAGCUGUGAGCAUAAAAUUGCGAUCACAAUUUAGUAAUAAGAAUUACCAAAAGGAUCUGCCUAAAGUCGAAAGUCGUUUUCAAGUUCUUCUUACAUGUAUUGCCAUAGAGGAACCGACGUGGAGGUUUAAAAAUUUGAAAACACCUACAUUACAAAACUUCGAUACACCCGCACCGUCGUAUUUACUAAAGAACCGUAGCGAUUUGGAGAAAAUAACAAACAAAAUUGGCGAAUCCCCUAUUGUUGAUUUUGCUAAACUUGUUUGUCCUAUUAAUGGCAUAAAUAUACCUAGCAUAUUAGUGAGUUAUAAGGAACCAGCUAAUUCAAAGAUGUUUGUUGAAUUUCUUUCCGAAGACCAAGAGCUGAAAUUUAGCAAAUCUCCCGUUGGGCUAAUGCGACUUAAGAUUCGUUUAUUAAAAGCGAUGGGAUACAAGGUUACAACCUUGGCAGCAGAUGACUAUGACGAAAAUAAUUUAGAAUAUUUGUUAUCCAAUGUCGAGGCCGAUGAUGUUCCCAAGGCUCAAUCAAUAAAAGUGUAAACGCUAAACGAUUUUGUGAUGCUCAUGUGUUGCUUAACACUUAUAGAAAUAUGUGUACAUAUAGGUAUUUUUUUUCUGCAGGCGGAGCUCGGCCAAGCCAAAAUACCUAUUGUGGAAGUAUAGAACAGAAAAUAGUAGCUUUCAAGCUUUGGAACAAUCUGAUGAACUUUAUCAAGGAGUUAUUCGCAACUUGGUGCAAGACAUUCUAAUAUAGGCGUGAAAUUAUUUCUUUCUCAUCUUCAUCUUUAUUUUUUAAAUAAUUCUAUUUGUUGCUUUGCAAAUUGGUUUUUAUUACCCUUUUUUCGUUAUAUUCAAAAAUUGCAAUAUUUUAUAUAUUUC